UUUGGGGGCUCAUCGAACUGGGGCUUCCGGUCACCUGAUGACACGGCUCUGCGCCCAGCUCGGGGGCUGGCAUGCCUUGAGUUUUCAGGGACCUCCAGCUUUGGAGACCUACUCGUGCAGAUCCUGGGGAGUCUUACCAGGGACACAUCCAUGAGGCUGACGACGCCAGGCCCAUCCAGGUCCUGUCUCCUCGGAGCCCAGGCUAUAAGUGC
This 212-nucleotide long non-coding RNA is filed under the name Sus scrofa (pig). RNAcentral describes it as "lncRNA (ENSSSCG00060078497.1)". Lineage: Eukaryota; Metazoa; Chordata; Mammalia; Artiodactyla; Suidae. The record is from RNAcentral.